GGCUUGUUGAUUAUAAUUUCAGGUCUGACCUGCCCAAUGAUGUAAUUUAAUGGCCGCGGUAUAUUGACCGUGCAAAGGUAGCAUAAUCAUUAGUUUUUUAAUUGGAAGCUUGUAUGAAGGGUUUGAUGAGGGAAUUUCUGUCUCUGUAAAAAUUAGUUAGAAUUUUAUUUUUAAGUAAAAAAGCUUAAAUUUUCAUAGAAGACGAGAAGACCCUAUAGAGUUUUAUAUUUAUAAUUGAGUAAAAAUUUAGAGAAAAGAGGUUUUAUUUAUUUGUGAAUGUUUAGUUGGGGUGAUGAGAAAAUUUGAUAAACUUUUUUUGUAUAUAUACAUUAAUUUGUGAAUAUAUGAUCCUAAAAUUUAGAUUAUAAGAAUUAAUUACCUUAGGGAUAACAGCGUAAUUUUUUUUAGAGUUCUUAUCGAAAAAAAAGUUUGCGACCUCGAUGUUGGAUUAAAAUUUAUUAUUGGUGAAGAAGCUAGUAUAUUAGGUCUGUUCGACCUUUAAAAU
RNAcentral lists this ribosomal RNA (505 nucleotides) under Trigonopterus sp. 157 AR-2022a. Its description in RNAcentral is "partial large subunit ribosomal RNA". It matches the Rfam family "Bacterial large subunit ribosomal RNA", at positions 1819 to 2594 of the family's 2925-position model. Lineage: Eukaryota; Metazoa; Arthropoda; Insecta; Coleoptera; Curculionidae. The record is from RNAcentral.